GAUGAACGCUGGCGGCGUGCCUAAUACAUGCAAGUCGAGCGAACAGACGAGGAGCUUGCUCCUCUGACGUUAGCGGCGGACGGGUGAGUAACACGUGGAUAACCUACCUAUAAGACUGGGAUAACUUCGGGAAACCGGAGCUAAUACCGGAUAAUAUAUUGAACCGCAUGGUUCAAUAGUGAAAGACGGUUUUGCUGUCACUUAUAGAUGGAUCCGCGCCGCAUUAGCUAGUUGGUAAGGUAACGGCUUACCAAGGCAACGAUGCGUAGCCGACCUGAGAGGGUGAUCGGCCACACUGGAACUGAGACACGGUCCAUACUCCUACGAGAGGCAGCAGUAGGGAAUCUUCCGCAAUGGGCGAAAGCUUGACGUAGCAACGCCGCGUGAGUGAUGAAGGUCUUCGGAUCGUAAAACUCUGUUAUUAGGGAAGAACAAAUGUGUAAGUAACUAUGCACGUCUUGACGGUACCUAAUCAGAAAGCCACGGCUAACUACGUG
RNAcentral lists this ribosomal RNA (497 nucleotides) under uncultured bacterium. RNAcentral describes it as "partial 16S ribosomal RNA". It matches the Rfam family "Bacterial small subunit ribosomal RNA", at positions 28 to 507 of the family's 1533-position model. The record is from RNAcentral.